GAAGCGAGAGAACGUUGCCGCAGGCAACGGCCCGAAGGGCGAGGCGCUUUAGCGCCGAGUAAUCCUUCCCCCACCACCA
This 79-nucleotide small RNA is filed under the name Klebsiella pneumoniae. Its description in RNAcentral is "partial RtT sRNA". It matches the Rfam family "RtT RNA", at positions 54 to 130 of the family's 130-position model. From Rfam's summary of the family: This family represents a bacterial cis-regulatory element known as RtT RNA. The exact function of RtT is unknown although it is thought that it may be involved in changing the cellular response in relation to amino acid starvation. RNAcentral also lists the same sequence under 1 other name. Lineage: Bacteria; Pseudomonadati; Pseudomonadota; Gammaproteobacteria; Enterobacterales; Enterobacteriaceae. The record is from RNAcentral.